UACGUAGGGUGCGAGCGUUAAUCGGAAUUACUGGGCGUAAAGCGUGCGCAGGCGGUUUUGUAAGCCAGAUGUGAAAUCCCCGGGCUUAACCUGGUAAUGGCAUUUGGGACUGCAAGGCUGGAGUGUGGCAGAGGAGACUGGAAUUCCUGGUGUAGCAGUGAAAUGCGUAGAUAUCAGGAGGAAUACCGAUGGCGAAGGCAGGUCUCUGGGCUGACACUGACGCUCAUGCACGAAAGCGUGGGGAGCAAACAGG
RNAcentral lists this ribosomal RNA (253 nucleotides) under uncultured bacterium. Its description in RNAcentral is "partial 16S ribosomal RNA". It matches the Rfam family "Bacterial small subunit ribosomal RNA", at positions 524 to 776 of the family's 1533-position model. The record is from RNAcentral.